AUUGGACUGUAUAAAUCACUUUUCACCAGAAGCAAAUAUCAGGUGGUACUAACAAAGGAAAAGCUACACAGAAGAAGAGUACUGACUUCUGAACUGUAUGUUUCGUUAGCCUGGAUUUGACAAGGCUAACGAAUGAUGAAUCAUGACUGUAUUCCCACUCUCCUUGGUUCAGAGUUGAGUGGUAUUAGAAGUCCAGAACUGCAGCUUGUACAGGGAUGUAUGACUGGCUUUAUGUUAUCUCGAGAAACAUACCUUUGUUUAAAGGUUGAAACCAUGGCAAUGAGAUGGAAAAUACAAGUUUAUGAUGUACAUUUAUAUUUGUAACUCAAGAACACCAAAGGGGGGAAAAAAAGAACACCAAGGGAGAUGUGAUACCUUACUUACAUUGACUGAAAGACAAAACAUGGAACUAGAGAAAAAGGAGAAGCCAGAGAAAUGGAAAUGAAGACAAAAGCCUUCUGUAAGUGUCAUGAACACAUGCAGAUAUAGAAAUUGUUAAAUUUCACAUUUUUCAUUUUAAGAACACUACCUGGGUAUUGAUGUGCAGAGUUUUUUCCUUUGUUUUUAAUAAAUAAUACAGCUGAGUCAGCUAAAGUAAAAUUUUUAAUUUGAUUGCACCAGGAAAAUAAUGUUAUAAGAAAAAGUUCCUGAAAAUCUGGGGAGGUGUAUGUCAUGCAUGCUAAGAGGGCACUGUUCUCUUCUGAGUACAAGUCAUAAUUUUAGAAUAAUUUAAGAAAUAUUAGGCAAAUGGUGGCAUUGCAACCUUUACUGUUAGUGUCUAAGCUUUGACUUAUUGUCCCAGUGAUAUCUUAGCAAUGUAAAGGGAAGCAUUUUAAGGAGAAAAAGUAACCUUUUAUUGUUAUAAUGCCACAGUGCAUAUAGUUCAUUUUUGUAUUAGUCUUGUGAUGCAAAGUAAUCUUUUUGCUUGUUUGUAGACACAAAAGCAUAAAACAAAUGGAGCACCCAAGAAUCAAAGAGGAGAAAAGAAGAUGAAAGGAUGAAUGUGCAUUUGUUUUGUAAUCACUAAUGGGUGUUCAUAAAAUGUAUUACGCAAUGCUCAAUUAUCAUGACAUCAAAAGGGAUCGAGUUUACCUGUUCAUUGUGAUCUAUAGUGUAGUUUCAUUUUUUAAAAUGCAACAGCUCUGCUGAAGUAUUUUAUCAUUAUCACUUGAAGUAAUAAAAUGGGCUUUAUUUAUGAAUAAAUGUUUCAUUUAUUUUUAUUAUAGUUCCAUUUGCAAAGAUUGUGACCUUUGUUUAUCAGUUAUCAUUUCUACACUUCUAAGGGUUAAAAACAAGCAAAGAAGUAAAAAAUAAAAUUUGUCCCUUCAGUAUUCGUUAGUUGUAUAAUUGUUUUAAUUCACAUUGCCUUUGCAGAAAUUAGGAUAUUUUCUUUGUAUGGUAUUGAGUCUCAUCUGGAAAGAUUAAGUAAAUUAAAUUCUCUUUGAUUAUUAUAGAACUGCGGAAAAGGCAAAGAUAAACUUUUAUCAGAUUGAGGUGGCAACCAGGCCGGGGA
This 1513-nucleotide long non-coding RNA is filed under the name Fukomys damarensis (Damara mole-rat). Its description in RNAcentral is "lncRNA (ENSFDAG00000022490.1)". The record is from RNAcentral. Lineage: Eukaryota; Metazoa; Chordata; Mammalia; Rodentia; Bathyergidae.